Oreochromis aureus is the source of this 3612-nucleotide RNA transcript. It is a transcript of the gene named protein phosphatase 1 regulatory subunit 3G-like, with no coding region annotated. The record is from RefSeq and is a predicted model, not a curated record. Lineage: Eukaryota; Metazoa; Chordata; Actinopteri; Cichliformes; Cichlidae. The transcript has 3 exons.
UGUAAGGCAGCUGUGACUUUAUAAUAAAGCACACAGAUAAUCAGCAGGCAGACGCACUCUCACUGCUUUAUUUAGCUUUUACUUCACCUGAAGUGCCACAGUGAAGGGCGGCUGUCAGGAAGCUGAUCUUAAUGCAGGGAAACAGGAGGACAGACUGAGGUAUGAAGAUGACACAAGAACUGGACUGAAGAUCAGAGGAACAGGUCUGAUGGAGAGAUGGACCCACAUCAUGCUCGGUGUGUAGGAGGAGGUCAGGAGGAGGUCCAACAGCGAGAGUCUGCAGCCAUCUGUGUCAUGGCUUCAGUCUAUCCCAAACACGCUGCCGGUGCAGUCAAAGCUCACCUGGAUAGAAACUCUGUCAGAGCCCGGACCUCAGCAUGACCGGAGCGGUGUGGGAUCAUCCUCACAGAGAACAGAACAACAGAAACAUCCAACGAAGAGCUCCGAGUCUCCGUCCAGAGGCCUGGAGAUCCUCACAGCUCAGAGUUCAGAUGGAGCUGCAGACUCUUCUCCUGUCAGGAUGUUUAGAAACUUUAAACGAUGCUUCUGUUUUCGGAUCGGUCUGACUCAGGUAAACAGAUUCAGAACGACUUCCUCACACCUGUACAGGUGUAUUUAGCGCUGGUUUCAUUGGUCCCGUGUGCAGACUCGGAGACGUCUGAACUACAGAAACACCAGCUUACUCCCCCACGUUUUCUCCCUAUAAGGGAAUCCCGACUGCAAACAGAGUGACGUCAGGAUUGCGUCACCGUUUGUUUACUAUCCCCAGGAGUGACGCAGCUGUUACAUAACGGAGUCUGACUGAGCUCGCGCAGUCAAAACGGUCAGAAUUUCAAAAUAAAACUCAUAAAAAGCUCAAAGUGGGGCUCGCGGAGGUCAUGUGACAUGUCAGAGUCCAGCUGUCCGGAAACGUGAGCUCACAGCGGCGCGUGGCUCUGUUGUUGUUGUUGUGCGCACGCAGGUGUUUACGUGACGGCGCGAGAGUCUCUGUGACAGCAGCUGGUGUGAGAACAGCGCACGCGCUCUGCUGUCGUCGAGGGGCGGGAGUCUGAAGACAGGUUGAGAUAAGCGAGAGGACUCCUGCCGGACACGAGCGUCGGCACCUGGCAACAGCUCUCCUCCACAGACCCGUGAGAGAGCCACGGAGAGAGGAUGGAGGAGCAGGAGGAGGAGCAGGACGAGGAGGAGGAGGACCUGGACGACGAGCUGGACACGUCUCAGCUGGAGAGGUUCCUGAAGGACGGGAGGAGAGCCAAGUCCCUGCCGGCCUGCCCGGGAGGAGCCCGCGGAGCGGAGGAGGGCAGGAAGCGCGUGAAGUUCGCGGACUCCAUGGGGCUGAGCCUGGCCCGAGUGAAGCACUUCAGCUCCCUGGAUGAGCCGCAGAUCCCCAGCAAGGUCCUGUCCCGGCACAGGAGCUCCCCCCUGGAGCAGCAGGACCUCCUGAGCCACAGCUUCGCCGCCGGCUUGCGCCCGGACCGACCGCUUGCGUGCCUCCCGGAGCUCCGGGACACGGAGCAGAGAGUCCGGCGGCUCCGGGUCUGCCUAGAACGGCUCGCCGCGACGCAGCUGGACGUGCGCGGGCACGUGCGGGUCCUGAGCGGCUGCGCCACCGGCAGGGAGGUCGGAGUGAGGUACACCUUCAACGACUGGCUGUCCCACAUGGACGCGCAGGCGGUGCCCGUGGCCGUGGCCGAACAGGGCUUGGUGGGGGUGCGCUUCACCUUCACCGUGUACAUCCCGCCCCUCGCAGACCCCGGCUCCGCCGUGCACCUCGCCGUUUACCUGAAGUGCGUGGAGGGGGAGUUCUGGGACAACAACGAGGGGCAGAACUACACCGUCAGGUACCGCUGAGUGCCCGGCCUUUGUCAGCGCCCCCUUCCACGCCACCUGAGCGCUGGCAGCGUUUCUCUCACUGUGCUCAGUUCCUGAGGUCAGUCACAAAGUUUCACAUGUCGCAGCAGGUUCCUGCGUGUGUGACAGCGUGUGACAGCGUGUGACGUGAGUGGCUGUGUCCUCCGUGUGGCGCUGCCGAGCUGUCAGUUUAUCAGUGCAGCUGCUUCCUCUCAGCCUUCAUCUCUGAAUGCUGAUGAGCUCCAACAUCUCUGCUUCAGCCCAGAGGAAUCCCAGCAUUUCAACAGGAAGCGACACUUCAAAAUAAAAGCCACAGCCUUUUAUAACUGAGAAUGAUUUAAAGUUGUGAUUUCUGACCUUACCUGUAUUUCUACACAUUCAUCCUCCAAACCAUUUAAAUAGAUUUCUGUUUUGAUCGUCUCAUUUUGAGAAGCUGCCAGGGAGCCAUGCAGCUCCACUGUUCCCCACAUUCCACAAAAAACCCUCAAAUAACUUGAACUCUUUCCUGUGACCUCGUGUGACCUCCUGAUACCUCAGCUCGUGUUCCCACCAUGAUUUCAUAAACAAGUACAGCAGGUGUAAGAUGACCAACGAGCACGAUUACCUCACGAGUCUAAAAUAACUGAGACAAAACGUCCACUUGUUUCUUUAAAGCCUUCAGCAUCCACAACAAGAUGUUUUAAAGAGCAGAGGAAUGUCAGGAAGUUCUGGUAUCAGAAGGAAAACACGGAGCGUGAUCGGAGUCACCGACAGACACAACGAGUCCCGAUCACAGUCUGCUCCUAGAGCUCGUCGUCCUCAUAGAGGAGGGAAUUACUCCAGCAUGGAGGUUUUGAUGCUCUGUGCUCGGUGAAUUGUAAUGACAGAGACUGAGGUGUGGGCCAAGCUGCUUUCUGAUCAUGUGUUUAGUAAACAGAUGCUUCAUCAGCCUCAGACUGAAACAUCUGGCUGUUUGUUCCCAUGAUGGACAGCAAGUUUGACACUCCCAGGUUAGGAUUGGAGCGGCUGCCGCACCGAUCCUUCCAGGUCGCUGCGCUCGGUUAAUCAGCUUCAGCUGAGACCACAGCAGACCCUGUUUGGAAAAACCCUCUGAGAGUGAUCCACGAGCUGAAGCACCGAUGCUGACCGGACGUACCUGGAUAAGAGGAAGCCGAGGAAGAAGCAGACGGAUGGGAUCGUAAAGAGAGGAACAGAAGAAGAGUGCGGAGAUGACUCUGCUCUCUGAACAGCGUUUCAGAAGCUUCAGUGAAAACCACGAAAGCAGCUGAAACAGCUUUGUGUGGCUCGUUGCCCACGAGGAUGACGGCUAGCUGAAUGUUUGUGUGAUAAUAACUGUGUGCUUCUCUGCUGAUUUACAGUUGGAGUGUUUUUGUCCUGAUGCCGCUCCAAACGCCCAAAAAGUCGAUUCUGUUCAUCUGGACGAUUAGCUGGAGGAUAAUGAUGAUGAUGAUGAUGAACACAGCGUCCAGAUAAACACAGUGAACUUUUGGGGAAUCCUGGUGUUUUUUCUGCCAUAUUCAAAUAUUUAGUGCCGGUCACAUGACCUGAUCACGUGUCUCUGUAAAUCAGGACUCAAACGGCCGUGACUACGACUGGAUGAGCAGAAGCUGUGCGAUCCCACGAACGCUGCUGCUGGUCUGGAGAUCCUUGACACCGUCACAUCCGUCACAUCCAUCACAUCUGCUGCUUUUCUUUAAACAAGGUCUCAUGUUUGCGAUCUGGCCUUGCAAAGGCACUUUGAAUAAAUCUCAGUUAGACAAA